RNAcentral lists this ribosomal RNA (1396 nucleotides) under Staphylococcus haemolyticus. Its description in RNAcentral is "bacterial SSU rRNA". It matches the Rfam family "Bacterial small subunit ribosomal RNA". Lineage: Bacteria; Bacillati; Bacillota; Bacilli; Caryophanales; Staphylococcaceae. The record is from RNAcentral.
AUAAGGAGCUUGCUCCUUUGACGUUAGCGGCGGACGGGUGAGUAACACGUGGGUAACCUACCUAUAAGACUGGGAUAACUUCGGGAAACCGGAGCUAAUACCGGAUAAUAUUUCGAACCGCAUGGUUCGAUAGUGAAAGAUGGUUUUGCUAUCACUUAUAGAUGGACCCGCGCCGUAUUAGCUAGUUGGUAAGGUAACGGCUUACCAAGGCGACGAUACGUAGCCGACCUGAGAGGGUGAUCGGCCACACUGGAACUGAGACACGGUCCAGACUCCUACGGGAGGCAGCAGUAGGGAAUCUUCCGCAAUGGGCGAAAGCCUGACGGAGCAACGCCGCGUGAGUGAUGAAGGUCUUCGGAUCGUAAAACUCUGUUAUUAGGGAAGAACAUACGUGUAAGUAACUGUGCACGUCUUGACGGUACCUAAUCAGAAAGCCACGGCUAACUACGUGCCAGCAGCCGCGGUAAUACGUAGGUGGCAAGCGUUAUCCGGAAUUAUUGGGCGUAAAGCGCGCGUAGGCGGUUUUUUAAGUCUGAUGUGAAAGCCCACGGCUCAACCGUGGAGGGUCAUUGGAAACUGGAAAACUUGAGUGCAGAAGAGGAAAGUGGAAUUCCAUGUGUAGCGGUGAAAUGCGCAGAGAUAUGGAGGAACACCAGUGGCGAAGGCGACUUUCUGGUCUGUAACUGACGCUGAUGUGCGAAAGCGUGGGGAUCAAACAGGAUUAGAUACCCUGGUAGUCCACGCCGUAAACGAUGAGUGCUAAGUGUUAGGGGGUUUCCGCCCCUUAGUGCUGCAGCUAACGCAUUAAGCACUCCGCCUGGGGAGUACGACCGCAAGGUUGAAACUCAAAGGAAUUGACGGGGACCCGCACAAGCGGUGGAGCAUGUGGUUUAAUUCGAAGCAACGCGAAGAACCUUACCAAAUCUUGACAUCCUUUGACAACUCUAGAGAUAGAGCCUUCCCCUUCGGGGGACAAAGUGACAGGUGGUGCAUGGUUGUCGUCAGCUCGUGUCGUGAGAUGUUGGGUUAAGUCCCGCAACGAGCGCAACCCUUAAGCUUAGUUGCCAUCAUUAAGUUGGGCACUCUAAGUUGACUGCCGGUGACAAACCGGAGGAAGGUGGGGAUGACGUCAAAUCAUCAUGCCCCUUAUGAUUUGGGCUACACACGUGCUACAAUGGACAAUACAAAGGGUAGCGAAACCGCGAGGUCAAGCAAAUCCCAUAAAGUUGUUCUCAGUUCGGAUUGUAGUCUGCAACUCGACUACAUGAAGCUGGAAUCGCUAGUAAUCGUAGAUCAGCAUGCUACGGUGAAUACGUUCCCGGGUCUUGUACACACCGCCCGUCACACCACGAGAGUUUGUAACACCCGAAGCCGGUGGAGUAACCAUUGGAGCUAG